This 217-nucleotide ribosomal RNA is filed under the name Escherichia coli. Its description in RNAcentral is "partial 23S ribosomal RNA". It matches the Rfam family "Bacterial large subunit ribosomal RNA", at positions 1 to 218 of the family's 2925-position model. The record is from RNAcentral. Lineage: Bacteria; Pseudomonadati; Pseudomonadota; Gammaproteobacteria; Enterobacterales; Enterobacteriaceae.
GGCUAAGCGACUAAGCGUACACGGUGGAUGCCCUGGCAGUCAGAGGCGAUGAAGGACGUGCUAAUCUGCGAUAAGCGUAGGUGAGGCGAUAUGAACCGUUAUAACCUGCGAUUUCCGAGUGGGGAAAAUAAGUGUGAUUAGUCAAACUAUCAUUACCUGAAUCAUUAGGUUAAUGAGGCGAACCUGGGGAACUGCAACAUCUAGGUACCCCGAGGAA